Molecule: ribosomal RNA, 465 nt
Filed under: uncultured bacterium
Lineage: Bacteria
Description: partial 16S ribosomal RNA
Rfam family: Bacterial small subunit ribosomal RNA
Source: RNAcentral
CCUACGGGAGGCAGCAGUAGGGAAUCUUCCACAAUGGACGAAAGUCUGAUGCAGCAACGCCGCGUGAGUGAAGAAGGGUUUCGGCUCGUAAAGCUCUGUUGGUAGUGAAGAAAGAUAGAGGUAGUAACUGGCCUUUAUUUGACGGUAAUUACUUAGACAGUCACGGCUAACUACGUGCCAGCAGCCGCGGUAAUACGUAGGUGGCAAGCGUUGUCCGGAUUUAUUGGGCGUAAAGCGAGUGCAGGCGGUUCAAUAAGUCUGAUGUGAAAGCCUUCGGCUCAACCGGAGAAUUGCAUCAGAAACUGUUGAACUUGAGUGCAGAAGAGGAGAGUGGAACUCCAUGUGUAGCGGUGGAAUGCGUAGAUAUAUGGAAGAACACCAGUGGCGAAGGCGGCUCUCUGGGCUGCAACUGACGCUGAGGCUCGAAAGCAUGGGUAGCGAACAGGAUUAGAUACCCCAGUAGUC